RNAcentral lists this ribosomal RNA (253 nucleotides) under uncultured bacterium. RNAcentral describes it as "partial 16S ribosomal RNA". It matches the Rfam family "Bacterial small subunit ribosomal RNA", at positions 524 to 776 of the family's 1533-position model. The record is from RNAcentral.
GACAGAGGAGGCAAGCGCUCUCCGGAAUUAUUGGGCGUAAAGCGUUCGUAGGUGGUUUGACAAGUCUGGGGUUAAAGCCCGGAGCCCAACUCCGGAUCGGCCCUGGAAACUGUCAGACUUGAGUAAGGUAGGGGUUGCGGGAAUUCCCGGUGUAGCGGUGAAAUGCGUAGAUAUCGGGAAGAACACCAGCGGCGAAAGCGAGCAACUGGGCCAUUACUGACACUGAGGGACGAAAGCUAGGGGAGCGAAGGGG